This 21-nucleotide microRNA is filed under the name Corchorus capsularis. RNAcentral describes it as "sRNA CCACVL1_23456". The record is from RNAcentral. Lineage: Eukaryota; Viridiplantae; Streptophyta; Magnoliopsida; Malvales; Malvaceae.
UUGAAUGAUUGGUACCAGUCA